GGCGGCGAGGCUCUGGUCUCAGCUCCGUGCCUAGCUUGUAAACAGCAGGUCAGGGGUUCGAUUCCCCUCGUCGGCU
Molecule: transfer RNA, 76 nt
Filed under: Thermocatellispora tengchongensis
Lineage: Bacteria; Bacillati; Actinomycetota; Actinomycetes; Streptosporangiales; Streptosporangiaceae
Description: tRNA-Leu
Source: RNAcentral